UGCAGCUAGCUUGCCGAUUGUCACUGACAAUGAGAUCGAAGCUGAACGGAGAUGGAUUCCUGUCAUUUAAGGCUAGUAUUAAACCAGAAUUAGAUAAUAUGAUCCUGUGACUGAAAGAUUAUCUGCAAAAUGGCAUACAGUCACAGGCCAAUCUAUGGCCGAUCUUCUUCUGAUGCAGCGCUGAACUUCUCCAUCACGGAAUCUCAGAAUGGACCCGGCUUCAACAGCAGGAGUAACGGGAGCGUCCCGGCUGCUAUGCGGGCAGCCUACGCCGAGGCAAGUAGAGAGCCCGGGUCGAGGAUCAGCCGGAGCGGAGAGGAGUAUCUUUAUCAGAAUGGGUCAUCGAGAUUUGAGCAUCAGCAUCAAUAUCGUGAGGAUUAUACAUUACCAAGGAAUACAACAAGACAUCAAGCUAGAGGCCAGAUCAGUAGGGAAUCAAACCUUGAUGAAGAACUGUGGAAACGGAAAACUGCCAGUUUGCCACGAUCAAAAGGAAAGCAGCAGAGGGGUACAUUUCAUUCACCGAGCGAUAAGGGAGAUGGAUAUUCAUCAAGACCAGCUUACAAUCGUCAAAACAGUGCAGGAGAUAGCCUUCAUUAUAGUCAUAAAUCUAGGGAAGAUAUCUACUUGUGCCAGAAUCAAAGAACUGACGCUCAUCAUUCUGUUGUUAGAGCAUCAAGUUUUCAGUUCGGAUCUGAUAUUGAUUAUGCUUAUCGUGCAAACAUGAAUGUCCAACGUUCACAAACUAAUGCAUCGAAUUUGAAGUCAAGGACAUUGCAGACAGAAAGUAGAGGCGUGCCAGUGCACCGUAGUAAUAGUCCUGUGGAUGAUGAGAGGUUUCGCGGCUAUAGUGUGGGUUCGAGGGGAUCGAGUCCUCGUCCAAACAUCAGACGCGCAAACUCCCAUGGCAGCACGCAUAAGUUGGGCGUAGGUAAUGAUGCUGGGGAUCAGAGCCAGAAUACCUCUUUCUCCUCAUCAGUUGGAAGUCCUGGUAAAAAGAAACUGUCCCGAAAGCCUUCUUUUAAAGCAUUUGGUUCGCUCAUCCAAAAGAUGGUGCGGCAGAUUGGGAGUAUGGAAGAAGGAAAAGGGUCCAACAUUCAAGAUGUAUCGUCAGGAAGCAGCAUCGUGAAUGGGAACACUGAUGGCCAUCAUCCUACUUCCCCACCUUGCAGCCCGGUCCUUCUCCAUGGACGUGUCCCGGGGCUGUCUGGUCUCCGUAACCAUGGCAACACUUGUUUCAUGAAUGCCAUUGUCCAAUGUCUGAGCAAUACGGAUGUUCUGGCAGAAUACUUUGUGUUGGAGCAAUAUAGAGGGGAUCUCUCACAUUCCAAGAAACUAAGCAAAAAGUUUGGAACCAAAGGAGAAGUGACAGAGCAGUUGGCCGUUCUCCUGAAAGCUAUCUGGAGUUGCAAAUAUUCACCUCAUCAUACUACGGAAUUCAAGCGAAUAGUGGCACGACAUGGCAGUCAGUACAGAGGAAAUGACCAGCAUGAUGCACAAGAAUUUCUUAUUUGGCUUCUUGACAAAGUCCAUGAAGACCUCAACAGUGCAAAGAAGAAAUACAAACAACUAAAGAAUGGACAGAACAAAAGUGACGAGCUGAUGGCAGCGGAAUCCCUUGCCAACCACAUGAGGCGCAAUAACAGCUUCGUCCAGGAUCUCUUCCAGGCGCAGUAUCGGUCCUCCCUGACCUGCCCUCACUGCGGCAGGCAGAGCAAUACCUUUGACCCCUUUCUCUGUGUGUCACUGCCCAUUCCGCAGAGGACAACCAGAGUGGUCAUCAUAGUAGUCAUCUAUGCUGAUAGGGAUCCCAGGGUGGUCAGGUUCGGCAUUGUCCUGGAGACCUCCGGGAGUGUAGCCGAUCUGAGGUCCAACAUUGCUAGUACCUGCAGUAUAGCGGUCACAAGGAUCGUUUUGACCGAGGUAUAUUUUGAUGGUUUCUACCGAUCGUUUGGCGAUUCGCAACCUCUGAGUGACAUCCACGACGGGGACAGUAUCUACGCCGUAGAAACCCCGCACAAUCCACACAGCAUGCUCCAGAAUAGUCAGGUCAAACCCUACCUCCAUGUCCAUUGCAAUCGACCUGUAGAGGUCAUCACCAUGGUGAUCAUCAACCAACAAGGCACGGGAAGAACAGGAAAGAGGUUUGGUCAGCCAAUGGCAAUUGAAGUGGACAGGAAUGUUUCUCAUGAGCAACUCACACUCAUCAUUCUCAAAGCUAUGGGCUGUUCAUCAAACAGUGCAGACAGAAUUAUGCAAUCAGGGCCUGUGCUACAGCUGGGUAUAGUGAUAGAUGCCAAGGGUAGCAGGCAUUACAUUCCAGCUGAAGAGGCCAGACCUAUGCACAAUGCAUCAAUAACCAGAAUGUUACAAGGAACCGGCGAAGAAGGAGGACCCCCUCAUGUGAAAGCGAUUGUAGAAUGGGAGCGAGAUCUCAGAUCCAUGUUUUGUCCUAGAGCGAUGAGUAUCUUCAUUGAGGAACAUGAGAGCGUUCAGAGGGAGAGAACAUCUCAUCAGCAGCCGGUCAGGGCAUCACUCUUUGAUUGUAUCGACCUCUAUACACAGGAAGAAAAACUUGGUGAGGAUAAUGCCUGGCACUGCCCUCAUUGUAAACGCCUUCAACAAGGAACAAAGAAACUCACUCUAUGGUCUUUACCGGAGGUUCUCAUCCUUCAUCUCAAGAGAUUCAAACAGGUUGGAGCAGCAAGAACCAAACUAUCAACUCAGGUGGAUUUUCCUAUUCAUAAUCUGAACAUGGGUCAGUAUAUAGAACAUAGGAGAAUGUCUCAGGGUCUACCAACCAAUGGCAACUCACAGGCAGCACUUCUGAACUCAUUGACAGCUUGGUCACCAUGGAAACAGCCAGGAGGUCGACGGAGGUCAUCUACAUUGAUUGGUGAUAAUGUAUAUGAUCUCUAUGCAGUGUGCAACCACUCUGGCAGUUUAACUGGUGGACAUUACACAGCAUACUGCAAGAACUCCCUGGAUGGCCAGUGGUACCAUUUUGACGACGCCAAGGUGGUGCCUGUACCGGAAGAACGCUUGGUAAACAAGGGGGCAUACCUGCUCUUCUACCACCGGCGCACCCAGACCACCGGUAGUACCAGCACAGAUUGCUCCAUGUCGUCCACCAGCUCGGAUCAUUGGGUUUACAAGUUACCAGCGUACGCCAGACAGUGUAGUAAUACGUCGUCAGGACAGGACAGUGUCUUCUCAUCCGGUGCUUCAUCCCACGAUGGGAGCUCACCUAUGACAGAGACCCCACCCUCAAGCGCAUGGGGAUCUGGCCCUCCACCCCACCCUGCCCCCACUGGCCAAUCAGGCAGGGCUGGCAGGGUAGACCCUCAGAGGGUUGACCUACCGGAGUGGUAUAACCACAAUGGAGUGGAUGCUGUGGACAGUGUCAGUACUAGGGCAAAGAACAGUGGCAGGUUGACCCCAGGUCAAAGGUCGUGGCAUGGGUCAAGAGACCUCUUAGAAGAUGAUGAGAGUGCAGGCUUUUCAACAAACUCCAGACCAUUUGUUCGAGGAGUUGCAGGGCCACAGAGACAAAGGACUUUACAUAAACCAUGGGAGACCAGUGAGAGUGACAAUGACAGUGUGCUCACUGAAUCAUGUGUAUGACAUAGGGUUUCAUAAGCAUAGGAUCUGUCUAGUAUAGGGCAGUAUGUAUCAGGCAUAAGUUUUUUUAUAAUGGGUUUUCAAUGAAGUGGAAACAAGAUGGCAUCCUCUCUAUGGCAAGACAUUGGUCUUCACCAGUACGAGUGACAAUGACAGUUUGCAGAUUAAAUCAUGUUUUCGACGUAGGGCUUCAUGAGCAUAGGAUCUGCCUAGCAUAGGGCCGUACCGUAAAUAUCAGGCAUAAGGUUUUUGAUAAUGUGGUUUUCAAUAGAGUAGAAAUCAGAUGACAUCCUCUUUAUGUCAGGAUAAAGGUCUUUACAUACACCAUGCGAGACAAGUGAGAGUGUCAAUGGCAGUGUGCUCACUGUAUCAUGUCUAUGACAUAGGGUCUCAUGAGCAUAGGAUCUGCCUAGCAUAUGGCAGGCAGGUUACAGCAUAUGGCAGCAUAAGGUUUUUGAUAAUGGGGUUUUCAGUGAAGUAGAAACAAGAUGGCAUCCUCUCUACGGCAAGACAUUGGUAUUCACUAGUAAGAGCGACAAUGACAGCUUGCUGAUUGAAUCAUGUUUACAACAUAUGACUUCAUGAGCAUUGGAUCUGCCUAGUAUAGUACAGGCAUAAGGUUUUUGAUAAUGGGGUUUUCAGUGAAGUAAAAACAAGAUGGCAUUCUCUUUAUGCCAAGGCAAAGGUCUUUACAUAGACUUUGGAUGACUAGUGACAAUGCUCACUGAAUCAUGUGAGUAGCAUAGGGGUCAUCCCAUGCUGUCUACCAUGGCUGGGGUAGUAUGUAUCAGGCAUGAGGAUUAAUGUUUAUCAUGCACUCUUUGGAUGAUAAUGUGAUUUAAACAAGUUUUAUUUAUUGUUCAUUGGGAGAUUUUUGCCACUUCAUUAUGUGAUUUUCCUUCACAUUUUUUUAAUAGCAAUGUGUUGAUUGAAGACUUUUCAUUAAAGGGGCAGAUUUUUU
Molecule: unclassified non-coding RNA, 4582 nt
Filed under: Lytechinus variegatus (green sea urchin)
Lineage: Eukaryota; Metazoa; Echinodermata; Echinoidea; Temnopleuroida; Toxopneustidae
Description: ubiquitin carboxyl-terminal hydrolase 31-like, transcript variant X1
Source: RNAcentral